Molecule: non-coding RNA, 848 nt
Organism: Caretta caretta (loggerhead turtle)
Lineage: Eukaryota; Metazoa; Chordata; Testudines; Cheloniidae
Source: RefSeq, a predicted model, not a curated record
CAGAGGUACUAGAGCAAACUGCCCCUGUGUUAACAGGGACAGGGCUGGUGGCAGGCCGUUGCCUGUGCAUGGUCGUUGGCUCUGAAGCAUACUCCUUUAUUGUUUGGGCAGAGCUUGGCUUUGUUAUUUAGAGGGCCCCACUGCAAAGCUCAUCUGUUUCCCGGGCCAUUUGUUGAGGUGCUGGGUGGACUGAUGCGGGUAGUCAGAGAGGUGUGGGGUUGUUAUUAUUUUGGGUGAAGGUUAUUUUCGACUGGGUUGCUCAGUUCUGGUGAGGUUCACACAAUCAAAAAUGGGCCAAGGCAAUGAAGGGUUUGUGUCAUCUCACUGUGUAUUUGUUUAAUGCCUCCUCUACUUUCCAUUGCAGUUCAUAUGCUGAUACGCAGAGGUUUAAUUUCCAACUGCUUGUUGCCUAACACAGUUCCAGGAUGCUGCUGAGAUUUACCCUUAGAUCAUACGGGCAGUUUCCAGUCAGUGCACAUCAGGACAUAAAAUGAAGGGAGAGCGCUUUCCCAGGCUCUAUUUGAUACCAUUGAGUGCUCUCAGAGUCAGUGAACUGUGACUCAUUUCUUAUGAAGAAUACUAAUGAUAAUUUGCAUUUCUGCACCACUUUUCAGGCAGAUGGCCCCAAAUAUUUUCCUAAGCAGGCAAGGAUGAAUGAGGGGAGUCAAGAAGGUUGCACACAGAAGCAGACCAUGAAAAACAGUACAAGAAAAGAGGUCUUUGGUGAGAUCAUUUCCCUGUUUCAUCGGAUGAUGAGAAAAUUAAGGCACAGGUACUCAGGCUCCUGUGGAACUGUAGCAGAGUUUCAUCAAAGCUUUCUCUAAUAAAAAGUAGAGAUGUUCAAAUCA